AUACAUACAUAUAUAUAUAUAUAUUGUGGAGAAAUAACCAUUCCAAUGUCAAGAAGGCCAUGCACCCACCCCUAGUAGUCAACUGCCACAGUUCUAAGAAGGCUAACCUGUCACAGGCAUUCAGCAGUGACAGUGUGGUAGCACAGCAAGACAGCUCUCAGAGGAGUGAGCCAGGUGCUGGUUCAGCUCAGAAGUGGGGGCUGGAAACAAUCCCAGGCUGUCAGCCCACGGCUGAAAGGAACGUUCUCUUUCUUUAGCCUGGCCUCCCAGCUUUUCAAAAUAACUGAUUUUACUACCACAGCAAUCUGACCCAUGCUGAAAAUGAACACUUAUCCUGGAUUUUUUUUUCAAUUCAAAGAAUAAUUACAGCAGAAUCUGAAGUAUCAGGAAACUUACUGUAAGGGAAACAGUGGGAAGCUCUGAUUAACCACCUGAGGCAAGCAAUGAGCCAGCUGCGGGAGCACAGGUGAAGGUAAUUCAGCUGUGCUCCUGGAAGGGGUGGAGCUUGACUCCUCCUCUCCUAGAUCCCAUUUAAGGGCUGACCACCACUAAGGUAGCAUUGUUUUCUGGAGAUUGCUCCUGUGUGGAGUUCUUGUGGUGAGCCUUGACAUCAGUGAGCACCUAUCUUGAAGGCCUUGGAGUGGCAUAGGAAGGCCUCUCCCUUUGCACUCCUUGGAAGUUCCUUUAUCAUUAAAGACAAAUAAACAAUAAGAACAACAAAAUGGAGGACCUCUGGCUUCUCAUGAAACACUCUCAUCUGUAGUGGAGAGUGGCUCAGUGCACAGCACCCAUCUGGCACACCCAGGCAAAGGCAAAAGAAGGUAUUUCCUGUCUUAUGUGCUGGCAGGCACCACUCCAAUAUGAAUGAAGGGGUCCUCCCUCAGCCCCUAAAUCGCAGCCUGCUCCUCAGGCCCCAGGGAGAACUGCAGCCCUCUUCCUUCUGGCAGACAGCUGGGGGUUGAACCUUCUCCAUAGGAUGCUCCAGAAGGCUGUGAGCGAUGAGGUCUGCCACGGCAACCAGCACAUCAUGUUUCAGCUGGGUCCUCAUUGCCUGUCG
Non-coding RNA from Coturnix japonica (Japanese quail), 1057 nucleotides. The record is from RefSeq and is a predicted model, not a curated record. Lineage: Eukaryota; Metazoa; Chordata; Aves; Galliformes; Phasianidae.